Molecule: RNA transcript, 2072 nt
Organism: Olea europaea var. sylvestris
Lineage: Eukaryota; Viridiplantae; Streptophyta; Magnoliopsida; Lamiales; Oleaceae
Gene name: PTI1-like tyrosine-protein kinase 3
Exons: 8
Source: RefSeq, a predicted model, not a curated record
UUGUUAUGAUUUUUAGCUUUUGCAUAAUACGAUUUUUCACGCUUCCAUUUCUCUCUCUCUAUUGUUGUCUGUUAUAUCUUGUUAACAUUUGUUUUUCUCUUUCUUGGAUCCAUCUUUGUCUAUAUAAGUUUUUUUUAUUAUUCAGUUUGUGGGCUUUAUUUUUGUCGUUCAAUUUCAACUUUUGGUUGUUGGUGAUGGACGACAAUUAUAUCAAUAGGCGUGGUUAUGCGUCACAUGCUCCUCCUCCUGUUUACUUUGUACCCCUGGAGAAACAUACCUCCAAAGAUGAUCUUUAUCUGAGAAAAAGAACAAGGAUGCGUAGGUGGCUGUGUUGUACCUGUCAAGCUGAGGAGUCUUACCCAUCAAAUGACAAUGAGGUCCUUAAGAGCCCCAGAAAUCAUGGUGAUGGGCAUCAAAGAGCGUCUAAGGCUUCAGCUCCUUUGAAGACUGAAGUUCAAAAGACAGUACCUCCUAUUCAAGUGCCUGCAUUGUCUCUUGAUGAACUGAAAGAAAAAACUGACAAUUUUGGAUCUAGUGCAUUAAUUGGCGAAGGAUCUUAUGGAAGAGUAUACCUUGCACAGUUGAGUAAUGGAAAAGAGGUUGCUGUUAAGAAACUUGAUGUGUCAUCUGAACCUGAUUCAAACGUCGAGUUUUUAACUCAGGUGUCAAUGGUGUCAAGGCUGAAGAAUGAAAAUCUUGUUGAGUUGCUUGGUUAUUGUGUAGAUGGCAAUCUUCGUGUCUUAGCAUAUGCGUUUGCGACCAUGGGAUCUCUACAUGACAUUUUGCAUGGAAGGAAAGGAGUACAAGGGGCACAACCGGGCCCUGUACUUGAUUGGAUACAACGUGUAAAAAUUGCUGUUGAUGCUGCAAGGGGACUCGAAUAUUUGCACGAGAAGGUUCAGCCUUCUAUAAUUCACAGAGAUAUAAGAUCCAGCAAUGUGCUUCUAUUUGAAGACUAUAAAGCCAAAAUUGCGGAUUUUAACCUAUCAAAUCAGGCUCCUGACAUGGCUGCUCGCCUUCAUUCUACUCGUGUUCUCGGAACAUUUGGUUAUCAUGCACCAGAAUAUGCAAUGACAGGACAGUUGACACAGAAGAGUGACGUGUAUAGUUUUGGGGUGGUUUUGCUUGAGCUUCUAACUGGAAGGAAACCUGUUGAUCAUACCAUGCCUCGUGGGCAGCAGAGCCUUGUUACCUGGGCCACUCCAAGACUGAGUGAGGACAAAGUUAAACAAUGUGUUGAUCCAAAACUCAAGGGAGAGUAUCCUCCGAAAGGAGUUGCUAAGGUCCUGUCUCUCUCUCUCUCUCUUCAAAUAACAAGGCAAAAUUGCACCAUCGUUCUCAAAUUUAUUGCCGGAAUAGCAAGUUGAUUCUCAACCUUUUAUUAUAGUUGCACGAUCCAUCCCCAAUGCCAGAAACCGUAUUACUCUUCAUUUGAGCCGUCACAUCCCCCUCAAAAGAAUCCCUUCAAAUUUAUUGUCACAAGGCCAAGUUGAGAAACAGAAUUUAACUUCGCAAAGUUCGACAUGGUUAGGGAACAACUUGCUAUUCGGGAAAUCAGGUGCCAGUAGUCAAUUUUUUCAGCUAGUACAUGUACCCAAUUCAUGCACUUAUAAAUAGGAAAAGAAAAGUUCACCUUUCUAAUUAUGCAACCGUGCAUCCAAUUAUUCAGCUGGCAGCUGUUGCAGCACUGUGUGUACAGUAUGAAGCUGAGUUUCGACCAAAUAUGAGCAUUGUUGUCAAGGCUUUGCAGCCACUGUUGAAGUCAACUGCCCCGGCUCCUGAGAUGUAGAGCGAGAAAAUCAGUUGCUCCGUGUUUGAAAUUCUGCUACUUCUGCCAUAAUUUGGGUUCAUUUCUGUGUGAAUUUCUUUCGCCGCUCCAUAAAUAUAUAUUUUUUCAUUUUUUUUCCCGAACUUGAAACAUGUAGGAUUGAUUGCUAUGGUUCCCUCAAGUUUUUUGCCUAUUUCAAGUAUGUUGGUGAUGUCUUUAAAAUUGUGAUUGGGCAAUGGGAUUGAGAAUGUAUUAAAGAAUCCAUAUGCUUCUCAGUUUUUAUAUAAUUCUGGAUUUGAGCUUU